AACGAACGCUGGCGGCAUGCCUAACACAUGCAAGUCGAACGAGACCUUCGGGUCUAGUGGCGCACGGGUGCGUAACGCGUGGGAACCUGCCCUUAGGUUCGGAAUAACUCCCCGAAAGGGGUGCUAAUACCGGAUAAUGUCUUCGGACCAAAGAUUUAUCGCCUUUGGAUGGGCCCGCGUUGGAUUAGCUAGUUGGUAGGGUAAAAGCCUACCAAGGCGACGAUCCAUAGCUGGUCUGAGAGGAUGAUCAGCCACACUGGGCCUGAGACACGGCCCAGACUCCUACGGGAAGCAGCAGUGGGGAAUAUUGGACAAUGGGCGAAAGCCUGAUCCAGCAAUGCCGCGUGAGUGAUGAAGGCCUUAGGGUUGUAAAGCUCUUUUACCCGGGAUGAUAAUGACAGUACCGGGAGAAUAAGCUCCGGCUAACUCCGUG
This 433-nucleotide ribosomal RNA is filed under the name uncultured bacterium. RNAcentral describes it as "partial 16S ribosomal RNA". It matches the Rfam family "Bacterial small subunit ribosomal RNA", at positions 29 to 507 of the family's 1533-position model. The record is from RNAcentral.